GCUGGGCGUGGUGGUGCACGCCUGUAGUCCCAGCUACUCGGAGGCUGAGGCAGGAGAAUCGCUUGAACCCGGGAGGUGGAGGUUGCAGUGAGCUGAGAUCAUGCCACUGCACUCCAGCCUGGGCCACAAGAGCGAAACUCUGUCUCAA
RNAcentral lists this small RNA (148 nucleotides) under Pongo abelii (Sumatran orangutan). Its description in RNAcentral is "Metazoan signal recognition particle RNA (ENSPPYG00000032355.1)". Lineage: Eukaryota; Metazoa; Chordata; Mammalia; Primates; Hominidae. The record is from Rfam by way of RNAcentral.